CGGACGGGUGAGGAAUACAUCGGAAUCUACUCUGUCGUGGGGGAUAACGUAGGGAAACUUACGCUAAUACCGCAUACGACCUACGGGUGAAAGCAGGGGAUCUUCGGACCUUGCGCGAUUGAAUGAGCCGAUGUCGGAUUAGCUAGUUGGCGGGGUAAAGGCCCACCAAGGCGACGAUCCGUAGCUGGUCUGAGAGGAUGAUCAGCCACACUGGAACUGAGACACGGUCCAGACUCCUACGGGAGGCAGCAGAA
Molecule: ribosomal RNA, 254 nt
Filed under: uncultured Stenotrophomonas sp.
Lineage: Bacteria; Pseudomonadati; Pseudomonadota; Gammaproteobacteria; Lysobacterales; Lysobacteraceae
Description: partial 16S ribosomal RNA
Rfam family: Bacterial small subunit ribosomal RNA
Source: RNAcentral